Molecule: RNA transcript, 2653 nt
Organism: Crotalus tigris (Tiger rattlesnake)
Lineage: Eukaryota; Metazoa; Chordata; Lepidosauria; Squamata; Viperidae
Gene: LYPD6B
Gene name: LY6/PLAUR domain containing 6B
Exons: 7
Source: RefSeq, a predicted model, not a curated record
UCUCUCGCUUUCUCUCUCCUUCCUCUUUCUCUCUCUCCUCCCGAUUAGGAUCGGCUCAUAUGAGCUUAAUGCCAGUUUCGGUUUGGCUUUUCGAGCCGCCUCCUGAACAGUUAAGGUACCCAAAAAAGGAGUCCUAACCCGAUUCAUUUAGCCGAGACGCCGCAGGCAAAGCGGAGAGCCGGAGCUCCUGACCUCUCCCACUCAACAGCGCGAAACCCGGUCGCGGCUGCUGGUCGCCCCUUCGACCUCACUUGACUUUCAGUUGACACGGACCGACCGCUCCUGCCGUGCUGCUUCGUGUUUCAUCAAAUUGCCCUUUGGAGACCACGGCCAAGACAUUUUAAGAGCCGGCUCAAGUUUGGGACCGGGACGAGCUCAACUGGGGGACGGGGGACGGGGGGGAGAAAGUGGGUACCCCCUACCGUUCUUCCAGUGCGCGGAUUUCUUCGCCAGGGAGGAGACCCGCCUUGCAGGUUUCACUCACUCCCGGGCAGGUAAAACCCCGCCUCAGCAGCGCGCGAGGCGUAAGCGCCUUCCAAGGCCCUCCGCCCCGGCCCUCCCUGGCGGCGGAGGGGUUGCGGUCCCGCGUUUCUGAGGCGCUGUCUCGGCUGAGGAGAGGCGUCGAAAGCGAGCGGAACGAGCGCUGCCUACCCGCCCAUGACAACCAGCGCAUUUAUCUCCAUAAACAGAAUUUACUAUAUCCAGGUAUGAGAGCAUUAAGCUCUGAGCUACACUGACGGUAUGCCAUUACUCUGUCACACGCUGGCGGUAGCUUUUGUUCAGAUCCUUCUAGUUUCAGGCAACUGGAUUUUAGCCAAGAACAUCAACUUCUACAACGUGAGACUUCCAGUAGACCCUACUCCAUUUCCAAGCAGUUUCAAGUGCUUUACUUGUGACAAUGUUAUUGACAAUUACAACUGUAACAGAUGGGCUGAAGAUAAAUGGUGUCCUCAGAACACUCGGUACUGUUUAGCAGCCCAUCACUUUACUAGUCAUGGAAGGAGCCUCUCUGUCACAAAGAAAUGUGCUACCAGGGAAGAAUGCCAUUUCGUUGGCUGCCAUCACCACAGAGAAACUAGUCAUACAGAGUGCAUUUCCUGCUGCGAAGGGAUGAUCUGCAAUGUAGAUAUACCCACAAAUCACACAAAUGCUGUUUUUGCGGUACCGCAUGCCCGGAGGAUAUCAGGAGGUAGCAGACAAACUAUUAGCAUCUUCUUGCUGGUCAUACUCCUCAUAGUUUUCAAGUUAUGACAUGACUCCCCUCAGGCAGAAGGAAUUUGUCGUCUGGAGUUACAUGAAGACAAUCUUUGAUGAAGAAGGAGUUGUAAGAGGCCUGUUAUAUGAAUAAAAGCGCUGCUGGUUAUUUGAAGACUGCUGGCCAUAACUCUCAGAUAUUGGUGCCAAGAAAACCCAAGCACAAUGGCCAGAUAUUAUGUCAACUUGACUAGUUACCAGAAAUCUCGGACGUCUUUGUGUGGAGCUUAGAACAAUUUGUGCUUUGGCACAUUAUUGUAGCAAGUUAUUACUGUACAAUUUUGAAGUAUUAAAAUUCUUCCUCAGCUGAAAUAAUAUGCUUUCUGAAGUGGUGAUACAAUAUUCUUAUUUUAUAUCCAAACUCUUCCUAGUUUUGAGGGGGUCCCUACCUAGCUGUAAUCCAAACCCAUUUCUGAUGUUGUUCCAAUUUUUUGCUGUCCCUACUGUGGGCUCCUGUAUUCUAACACUACAGUAGCCACUGUAGUAGCAUCAUCGGAUUGAGGGGGAAACGGAUGGAAAUGGUAAGGUUUGGUAAUAGUCCAUUUUGGGUCUGGAGACAUUGGCAUGUGUCCAACUAUGCAAGUUUGGCUUGAUGCAGUGAAUAAAUAGUUAUUAUUAGGAGUUCUUCAAAAAGGUAGAAUAGUUGAGAAACACUGAGUUAGUUCCACACCUCAAAUAUCUAUAACAAGACUGUGCCUUUUCUCCACAUUGCCCUUGCUGGCCAUGAUUUCCAAAUAGUAUCAGUAUAGUAGGAUUACCUCUUCCUCAUGAGUUGCACUUAUGCUGGAGGACUGGGGACUUAUCCAAAUCAUCUAGAGAAGUAGAGAGUUCAGAACAACUGGUUGGUUUGUUCCCCACUGAGAAAUAUGAACAGGAAAGAGUUAUGAUAGGUAAACCCAGAGUAAUGGACUUCCAACUCUGUUUGAAGUGCACAACAUUAAAAAAAAAAAAAAACUUGUUUCCUAAGUGAUCCAAGACAAUUUAAUGUGAAUCACCUUGAGCUGUAGCUCAGUCUGUGAGGGAAACAAUAUAUAUGAAACCGAUUUCAAAGGCCAUGGAAUUUAACGUUCUAUUCUGUAAGACUUGAAACUGUACAAAAAAACAGUUGCAACUUGUACUGCAGUGUGUGUUGAAUCAAUUUUAAAUAACAAACAGGUUCAUGGAAUUUCAUGAAUUCAUGGAAACAGAAUAUGGACAAAUAGAAAUAAGAAUUGAUACAAAUGAUACAAAUAAAGAAGGCUGGAAUGACUGUUUGCUGUAAGUCUUUUAGAUGAUAAGCCAUGUGCUCAUGUGUUUAUAAAUAUUCUUGUUUUUCUUCUCUGUCUUCGGGAAUUCAAGUUUACAAAUGUGUUUUAUACAUAAUAAGUACUACAUUAAACUAAUAACUUUUCAUUGGCAA